Bubalus bubalis (water buffalo) is the source of this 334-nucleotide long non-coding RNA. RefSeq lists it as uncharacterized. NCBI's taxonomy places the organism in Eukaryota, Metazoa, Chordata, Mammalia, Artiodactyla, Bovidae. The record is from RefSeq and is a predicted model, not a curated record. The transcript is spliced from 2 exons.
ACGGCGCAGAGAAAGUACCCCGAAACCAGGCGGGGCAGCGUGGCUGUUACGAACGGAGCACUGGCGACAACCCCCGCACAGUCCUGACCCCCGCUCUCCUUUGGAGUUUUUCUGAGUACCCCGACUUCAGUUUUGGGUGUAAAGUCUUCCCUGACACUCGGGAGAGGUUGACAUGUACACGGAUGAAGGAGGAAGUGCCGUCCAUCACCACCAGUGGGCAGCUCAGGCCAAGGAAAGAUCCCAGUACUCCUGGGAAACCCCCAGCCAAGCUGCAUUUUCAUCAAGACAGCUAAUAAGAGCACUUCCUGAAGUUCUAUGCUAGCAGCUUGACAUG